RNAcentral lists this ribosomal RNA (1350 nucleotides) under Janthinobacterium lividum. Its description in RNAcentral is "partial 23S ribosomal RNA". It matches the Rfam family "Bacterial large subunit ribosomal RNA", at positions 1584 to 2925 of the family's 2925-position model. The record is from RNAcentral. Lineage: Bacteria; Pseudomonadati; Pseudomonadota; Betaproteobacteria; Burkholderiales; Oxalobacteraceae. RNAcentral also lists the same sequence under 1 other name.
CACGAAGCAAUCGGAAGUGGUUCCAAGAAAAGCCUCUAAGCUUCAGUCAUACGAGACCGUACCGCAAACCGACACAGGUGGGCGAGAUGAGUAUUCUAAGGCGCUUGAGAGAACUCGGGAGAAGGAACUCGGCAAAUUGGUACCGUAACUUCGGGAAAAGGUACGCCCCGGUAGCUUGAAUGGUUUACUCCAUGAGGGUGAAAGGGUUGCAAUAAACUGGUGGCUGCGACUGUUUAAUAAAAACACAGCACUCUGCAAACACGAAAGUGGACGUAUAGGGUGUGACGCCUGCCCGGUGCUGGAAGAUUAAAUGAUGGGGUGCAAGCUCUUGAUUGAAGUCCCAGUAAACGGCGGCCGUAACUAUAACGGUCCUAAGGUAGCGAAAUUCCUUGUCGGGUAAGUUCCGACCUGCACGAAUGGCGUAACGAUGGCCACACUGUCUCCUCCCGAGACUCAGCGAAGUUGAAAUGUUUGUGAUGAUGCAAUCUACCCGCGGCUAGACGGAAAGACCCCAUGAACCUUUACUGUAGCUUUGCAUUGGACUUUGAACCAAUCUGUGUAGGAUAGGUGGGAGGCUUUGAAGCGGGGACGCUAGUUCUCGUGGAGCCAACCUUGAAAUACCACCCUGGUUUGUUUGAGGUUCUAACCUUGGUCCGUUAUCCGGAUCGGGGACAGUGCAUGGUAGGCAGUUUGACUGGGGCGGUCUCCUCCUAAAGUGUAACGGAGGAGUUCGAAGGUACGCUAGAUACGGUCGGACAUCGUGUUGAUAGUGCAAUGGCAUAAGCGUGCUUAACUGCGAGACUGACAAGUCGAGCAGGUACGAAAGUAGGACAUAGUGAUCCGGUGGUUCUGUAUGGAAGGGCCAUCGCUCAACGGAUAAAAGGUACUCUGGGGAUAACAGGCUGAUUCCUCCCAAGAGUUCAUAUCGACGGGGGAGUUUGGCACCUCGAUGUCGGCUCAUCACAUCCUGGGGCUGUAGCCGGUCCCAAGGGUAUGGCUGUUCGCCAUUUAAAGUGGUACGUGAGCUGGGUUUAAAACGUCGUGAGACAGUUUGGUCCCUAUCUGCCGUGGGCGUUGGAAAUUUGAAGGGGGCUGCUCCUAGUACGAGAGGACCGGAGUGGACGAACCUCUGGUGUACCGGUUGUCACGCCAGUGGCAUUGCCGGGUAGCUAAGUUCGGAAGAGAUAACCGCUGAAAGCAUCUAAGCGGGAAACUUGCCUUGAGAUGAGAUUUCCCAGAGCCUUGAGCUCUUUGAAGGGUCGUUCGAGACCAGGACGUUGAUAGGCUGGGUGUGGAAGUGCAGUAAUGCAUUAAGCUAACCAGUACUAAUUGCCCGUACGGCUUGUCCCU